CAAGUCGAACGAAUCCCAGUUGCUGUAGCAAUACAAUGACUGGGGGAAGUGGCGAAAGGGGCAGUAAUGCGUGGGUAACCUACCCCGGGGACCGGGAUAGCCACCCUAACGGGUGGGUAAUACCGGGCGAUAUAGCGAGAUCACCUGACCUUGCUAUGAAAUGAGUUUCGCCUCGGGAGGGGCUCACGUGGUAUUAGCUAGUUGGUGGGGUAACGGCCUACCAAGGCUCAGAUGCCUAGCAGGUGUGAGAGCACGACCUGCGCCACUGGCACUGAGACACUGGCCAGACUCCUACGGGAGGCUGCAGUCGAGGAUCUUCGGCAAUGGGCGCAAGCCUGACCGAGCGACGCCGCGUGCGCGAUGAAGGCCUUCGGGUUGUAAAGCGCUGUCGAGGGGGAGGAAAGCCGAAAGGUUUGACCUAUCCCUGGAGGAAGCACGGGCUAAGUUCGUGCCAGCAGCCGCGGUAAGACGAACCGUGCAAACGUUGUUCGGAAUCACUGGGCUUAAAGGGCGCGUAGGCGGGCAACCAAGUCAAGGGUGAAAUCUUUCGGCUUAACCGGAAAACUGCCUUUGAUACUGGUUGUCUUGAGGGAGGUAGGGGCAUGUGGAACUUCCGGUGGAGCGGUGAAAUGCGUUGAUAUCGGAAGGAACGCCGGUGGCGAAAGCGACGUGCUGGACCUCUUCUGACGCUGAGGCGCGAAAGCUAGGGGAGCGAACGGGAUUAGAUACCCCGGUAGUCCUAGCCCUAAACGAUGGGUACUAGGUAGUGGACUUAACAUGGGUUCACUGCCGAAGCAAAAGUGUUAAGUACCCCGCCUGGGGAGUAUGGUCGCAAGGCUGAAACUCAAAGGAAUUGAC
RNAcentral lists this ribosomal RNA (858 nucleotides) under uncultured Planctomycetia bacterium. Its description in RNAcentral is "bacterial SSU rRNA". It matches the Rfam family "Bacterial small subunit ribosomal RNA", at positions 58 to 914 of the family's 1533-position model. The record is from RNAcentral. Lineage: Bacteria; Pseudomonadati; Planctomycetota; Planctomycetia.